RNAcentral lists this non-coding RNA (253 nucleotides) under uncultured bacterium. RNAcentral's name for it is "partial 16S ribosomal RNA". It matches the Rfam family "Bacterial small subunit ribosomal RNA", at positions 524 to 776 of the family's 1533-position model. The record is from RNAcentral. RNAcentral also lists the same sequence under 1 other name.
UACGAAGGGUGCAAACGUUGCUCGGAAUCAUUGGGCGUAAAGCGCACGUAGGCGGCCUUGUAAGUCGGACGUGAAAUCCCACGGCUCAACCGUGGAAGUGCAUCCGAAACUGCAAGGCUCGAGUAUGGAAGAGGGUCGCAGAAUUCCCGGUGUAGAGGUGAAAUUCGUAGAUAUCGGGAGGAAUACCAGUGGCGAAGGCGGCGACCUGGGCCAAUACUGACGCUGAGGUGCGAAAGCGUGGGGAGCAAACAGG